RNAcentral lists this ribosomal RNA (447 nucleotides) under uncultured bacterium. RNAcentral's name for it is "bacterial SSU rRNA". It matches the Rfam family "Bacterial small subunit ribosomal RNA", at positions 355 to 825 of the family's 1533-position model. The record is from RNAcentral.
UCGGGAAUUUUGGGCAAUGGGCGAAAGCCUGACCCAGCAACGCCGCGUGAAGGAUGAAGUAUUUCGGUAUGUAAACUUCGAAAGAAUAGGAAGAAUAAAUGACGGUACUAUUUAUAAGGUCCGGCUAACUACGUGCCAGCAGCCGCGGUAAUACGUAGGGACCAAGCGUUGUUCGGAUUUACUUGGCGUAAAGGGCGCGUAGGCGGCAUGACAAGUCACUUGUGAAAUCUCUGGGCUUAACCCAGAACGGCCAAGUGAUACUGUCGCGCUAGAGUGCAGAAGGGGCAAUCGGAAUUCUUGGUGUAGCGGUGAAAUGCGUAGAUAUCAAGAGGAACACCUGAGGUGAAGACGGGUUGCUGGGCUGACACUGACGCUGAGGCGCGAAAGCCAGGGGAGCAAACGGGAUUAGAUACCCAGGUAGUCCCUGAGCGGGCUGGCAAGGCGCAU